AACGAACGCUGGCGGCAGGCCUAACACAUGCAAGUCGAGCGCCCCGCCAGGGGAGCGGCGGACGGGUGAGUACCGCGUGGGAAUAUGCCCUUUGCUACGGAAUAGUCUCGGGAAACUGGGGGUAAUACCGUAUACGCCCUUUGGGGGAAAGAUUUAUCGGCGAAGGAUUAGCCCGCGUUGGAUUAGGUAGUUGGUGGGGUAAUGGCCUACCAAGCCGACGAUCCAUAGCUGGUUUGAGAGGAUGAUCAGCCACACUGGGACUGAGACACGGCCCAGACUCCUACGGGAGGCAGCAGUGGGGAAUCUUAGACAAUGGGGGCAACCCUGAUCUAGCCAUGCCGCGUGAGUGAUGAAGGCCUUAGGGUUGUAAAGCUCUUUCAGCUGGGAAGAUAAUGACGGUACCAGCAGAAGAAGCCCCGGCUAACUCCGUG
This 431-nucleotide ribosomal RNA is filed under the name uncultured bacterium. Its description in RNAcentral is "partial 16S ribosomal RNA". It matches the Rfam family "Bacterial small subunit ribosomal RNA", at positions 29 to 507 of the family's 1533-position model. The record is from RNAcentral.